GUGGGGAAUAUUGGACAAUGGGCGCAAGCCUGAUCCAGCCAUGCCGCGUGAGUGAUGAAGGCCUUAGGGUUGUAAAGCUCUUUCGCCGGUGAAGAUAAUGACGGUAACCGGAGAAGAAGCCCCGGCUAACUUCGUGCCAGCAGCCGCGGUAAUACGAAGGGGGCUAGCGUUGCUCGGAAUCACUGGGCGUAAAGCGCACGUAGGCGGGUCGUUAAGUCAGAGGUGAAAGCCUGGAGCUCAACUCCAGAACUGCCUUUGAUACUGGCGACCUCGAGUUCGAGAGAGGUUGGUGGAACUCCGAGUGUAGAGGUGAAAUUCGUAGAUAUUCGGAAGAACACCAGUGGCGAAGGCGGCCAACUGGCUCGAUACUGACGCUGAGGUGCGAAAGCGUGGGGAGCAAACAGGAUUAGAAACCCCAGUAGUCC
RNAcentral lists this ribosomal RNA (425 nucleotides) under uncultured bacterium. Its description in RNAcentral is "bacterial SSU rRNA". It matches the Rfam family "Bacterial small subunit ribosomal RNA", at positions 354 to 796 of the family's 1533-position model. The record is from RNAcentral.